RNAcentral lists this ribosomal RNA (49 nucleotides) under Neoparacardicola cf. nasonis RQY-2017. Its description in RNAcentral is "partial 28S ribosomal RNA". The record is from RNAcentral. Lineage: Eukaryota; Metazoa; Platyhelminthes; Trematoda; Strigeidida; Aporocotylidae.
UAACCUCGAAUCAGUCGCGAAUACCCGCUGAACUUAAGCAUAUCACUAA